UCUCCCCACUCCUCUCUCUCUCUCUCUCUCUCUCUCUCUCCACUCUUCGUCCUCCUUUCUCAGGCCGCCUCUCCUUCGUGGUCUCUGCUUCUCUGAUGAAAUAUAAGCUUUAGAAAAUUCUCGAAAAUUCUCAAAAAGCCCCAAAAGUCUUCGCUUUUCUUCCAUUCCCCCCCUCUCCCUGUCUCCCUGCCUCUCUCUGGGCAGUCAAAAUCGAGGCUUGUUGCAGCUCCAGCUCAAUGGAACGGGUCGUCGGCCGUAAGUACAAGCUCAGCCGCAAGAUCGGCAGCGGAUCCUUCGGUGAAAUCUUUCUGGCUACACAUGUCGACACCUUUGAGAUCGUCGCCGUGAAGAUUGAGAAUAGCAAGACAAAACAUCCACAACUGCUUUAUGAGGCCAAAUUAUACAACAUACUUCAAGGAGGGAGUGGAAUUCCCAGCAUAAAAUGGUCCGGCAUUGAUGGGGAAGAUAAUAUACUUGUCCUUGAGCUGCUUGGACCAAGUCUUGAAGAUUUGUUUGUGUAUUGCGGGAGGAAGUUUUCAUUGAAAACAGUAUUAAUGUUAGCUGAUCAAAUGCUGACAAGAAUUGAAUAUGUGCACUCAAAAGGAUUUCUGCAUAGAGAUAUCAAACCUGAUAAUUUUCUCAUGGGUCUUGGUCGAAAAGCGAAUCAGGUUUAUAUUAUUGAUUUUGGGCUUGCAAAAAGAUAUCGUGACUCUGUCACAAACCGCCAUAUUCCUUACAGGGAGAAUAAAAACUUGACUGGCACCGCACGUUAUGCAAGCUGCAAUACUCAUCUCGGGAUUGAACAAAGCCGGAGAGAUGAUUUGGAGUCUUUGGGCUAUGUACUACUUUAUUUUUUGAGAGGAAGCCUCCCAUGGCAAGGGCUGAAGGCUGCUACAAAGAAACAAAAGUAUGACAAAAUAUGUGAAAAGAAGCUAUCAACUCCUAUUGAGGUUCUUUGCAAGUCCCAUCCAGUGGAGUUCGCCUCAUAUUUCCAUUAUUGCCAUUCCUUGACAUUUGAUCAACGGCCAGAUUAUGGAUUUCUAAAGCGUCUGUUCCGUGAACUAUUUACUCGUCAAGGAUAUCAAUUCGACUGUGCUUUUGAUUGGUCUAUACUAAAGUAUCAGCAAGCACAAAAGAGCAGACGUCACCGAUUGUCUCCAACUCCUGGAGAGAGUAGCAGUCGUCCAAUACCAAUGGAAAUGGACAAUCGUCAAGGAGUUGUUAAUGCAUCUUAUCCAACUGAGGUGGCAGAUCGUGUGAGGUCAAGUAAUGCUGCUGGUCCUGGUUUUUCGAUGAAGUUGAAAGCCGUGGCAGACAAGAACCCAAGUCCAGAUUAUACCCUUGACAAGAAUGUCACUGGUGCUAUGCCAUCUACUUCAUUCGUGCUUGGUGGCACAAAUAGAAGUUCUAUGAAAGCUCAACCCCCUACUGAAGGUGGAAACCCUGGACAUGGGUCUGGCAGCAGAAACGGUCCUUCUAGCAGCUGGAUAUCUUCGCUCCAGCGAAUUUCAUCUGCGAAAUAGAUCAUCUGCUGAUCAUUUGGGUUGAGGAGAUUCCUUCUGCGAAUUGGUUUGAUGACUGCUAGCAGAAGAUAUUUGGAUGCGUGUAUGGAGGCUUUGACAUGGAUUAUCUAUCGGUACUACAAGACAACAUGCCGUUCGUUUGAUGGAUCAAGAUCCUGCGUGUUUCCUGUAACUGUUUUUCCAAAGUGAGGACAAACAGAUGAGGGAUGCCAUCUGAAGGGCCAAUUCUUCAACCUGAUAUUGCCUUUCAAAAGGUCUUCAGCAGCAGACAAGAUUGGAGGAGUUUGAUGUUCUAAUUGAGCUCUCAGGUCAAGUUUCAUUACUCAAAAUUUCUUGUACUCUGUGUAGUGUUGACAUCUACUGCAGUGGGAACUUCCUUGUGUACGAUCAAAGUUAAAAAUCUCCCACACCCGAUUCCCGUGAAGGCAAGUUCUAAACAGCUGUGUUCGGUGAGGUAAAAAGGAUGGGUUCGUUUGGUCAUUGUUAUGGUUAUUUUUUGGAAAUCUUACCACACAAGUGAGGUUCUUUCUUGCUUUGAGCUUGAGCAGCAUAGGUUCUUUCCGGGUUCACUUGACAUAACUCCCUUAUGCUCAAAAUUUCUUUCCUGAUUCGAAUACGAAUUGUUACUAAUUUGAUAAGAGUCAUGUAAUGGUUAAUUGGCUCUUGAUGAUUCUUCACCA
This is a non-coding RNA of Punica granatum (pomegranate), 2203 nucleotides long. The record is from RefSeq and is a predicted model, not a curated record. NCBI's taxonomy places the organism in Eukaryota, Viridiplantae, Streptophyta, Magnoliopsida, Myrtales, Lythraceae.